GGGUCUGGCUGGCCGGUCCGCCUCACCGCGAGUACUGGUCCGGCUGGACCUUUCCUUCUGGGGAACCUCAUGGCCUUCACUGGCUGUGGGGGGAACCACGACUUUUACUGUGAAAAAAUUAGAGUGUUCAAAGCAGGCCUUUGCUCGAAUACAUUAGCAUGGAAUAAUAGAAUAGGACGUGUGGUUCUAUUUUGUUGGUUUCUAGGACCCCCCGUAAUGAUUAAUAGGGAUAGUCGGGGGCGUCAGUAUUCAGCUGUCAGAGGUGAAAUUCUUGGAUUUGCUGAAGACUAACUACUGCGAAAGCAUUCGCCAACGAUGUUCGCAUAACUCCCGCAACGAAAGUUAGGGGAUCGAAGACGAUCCGAUACCGUCGUAGUCUUAACCAUAAACUAUGCCCGACUAGGGAUCGGACGGGAU
Molecule: ribosomal RNA, 417 nt
Filed under: uncultured eukaryote
Lineage: Eukaryota
Description: SSU rRNA
Rfam family: Eukaryotic small subunit ribosomal RNA
Source: RNAcentral